GAUGAACGCUGGCGGCGUGCCUAAUACAUGCAAGUCGAGCGAACAGACGAGGAGCUUGCUCCUCUGACGUUAGCGGCGGACGGGUGAGUAACACGUGGAUAACCUACCUAUAAGACUGGGAUAAAUUCGGGAAACCGGAGCUAAUACCGGAUAAUAUAUUGAACCGCAUGGUUCAAUAGUGAAAGACGGUUUUGCUGUCACUUAUAGAUGGAUCCGCGCCGCAUUAGCUAGUUGGUAAGGUAACGGCUUACCAAGGCAACGAUGCGUAGCCGACCUGAGAGGGUGAUCGGCCACACUGGAACUGAGACACGGUCCAGACUCCUACGGGAGGAAGCAGUAGGGAAUCUUCCGCAAUGGGCGAAAGCCUGACGGAGCAACGCCGCGUGAGUGAUGAAGGUCUUCGGAUCGUAAAACUCUGUUAUUAGGGAAGAACAAAUGUGUAAGUAACUAUGCACGUCUUGACGGUACCUAAUCAGAAAGCCACGGCUAACUACGUG
RNAcentral lists this ribosomal RNA (497 nucleotides) under uncultured bacterium. RNAcentral describes it as "partial 16S ribosomal RNA". It matches the Rfam family "Bacterial small subunit ribosomal RNA", at positions 28 to 507 of the family's 1533-position model. The record is from RNAcentral.